AACCACAGUGGGCCCACAGGUAACCAGCACCCCGAGCCAGGGUGACAGGGAGGUGCCAUUCAUCUGCUCUGCACGGGAUUUACCUCCAAGGGCCCAGCAUGUGCCACGUCUCAGUCACUGAGCUGCAGGUCAAGAGUGAGCUACAGGCAGCUUUGCACCCUCCACGGCACCCCAGCCUGCAGGGAGAAAUCACUCCACACUGGAAUACUCACUGCUGUUGCAUCAAACAAGUGGAACGGACCAAAAAUGAGCAUCACUUUGGACACCAAGUUAAUGAUCUCCCUGUUGGGAAGAUGACCUGAGCUCACCUGUGCACAGCAAUGCAGUGAUGCAGGAGGUCUUGGCUUGCACCACAUCCCCCGAUCCCAAGGCAUUGCCCACCCUGACACUCGCAGCCACGCUGAUGCCCAGAGGCACCUGAAUAGCAGGAGACAAGAGGAGCACACCCUGGAUGUGCAGCUGCUGUGGCAGGUCUGAGAGGCAUCACCUGCCUGGUACUGCCCCCUGUUCCCAUCUCAGAUUGACCACAGAGCCACUGUUUGGGGGCUGCUCCCAGGCUGUUUGGGGUUUCCUACACCCAGCCCUUACCAUGUAGGCGGCACAGGCGAGCUCGUAGAUGAUGGACUGUGCCCCCAGCUCCACCACACUGAGCAGCCCUGGAAAAGAUUCAUCACCUCCUUUGUUUGCUGACAAGGAGGCAGCAACUACAGGGUUCCCACUGAAUGGAUGGGAACACCUGCAGUGUCCUGCAGACCUGGUCCUGUAGGUGAGGAAGCUGCUGGCAGGAGGAGCUCUGGAGACACAGUCAAGAAGCAGCCACCAGAGCAGGCACAGCUGUAAGGCAGCCUGUUGAACCACAGGAAAAAGAGGAUUUGGACUCACCAGCCAAGAAGCUCCCAAUCUCAAAGGUCCACCACUCAAUGCACAUCAUGAUCAUGCCGGGCACUGCCAGCCAGAUGAAGGAGCCCCAGUCCAGGAGGCAGUCCCUGCUCCAACCUGCAACGAGGACGUGAAGCAAAAUGAACACAUGUUCUCCCUCUCCAUCCCCAAAGGGGAACCAUAUGUUCUUCUGGGUACUCUCAGAGGACAACCAUCACUGCAGCUCACAGGACACCUGCCUAGGAUUGCUGCUGUGCCAUGCUGCAUUCCUGAGACAGGUUAUUCAACAAGAAUGUAUUUGGAGCUACAGUAAAGGCCUUGAGGACAUGACUUCAGCAUCUUCCCACUGUGAGGGGAUGACAAUCCCUUUGUCAGGUGCUGGCGACAGUGCCAAAUUCCCAGGGUCAGACAUUGGUAUUCUGAAGGAUUAAACUAUAACAGUACCUCCCCAGGUCUUCACAUGGAUCUUCUUCCACCACAUGUAAAGGAAGAGGAGGAUGGCCUGGGUGUACUGAGAAACAGUGUUAGCCCAAGCAGAGCCCCUGCAGAGAAAGAUAGGCAAGUUACAAGUGACAUCCUUCCCAAUCUCCUCAGCUACAGCAGGAGAGACCCAGGGGUCUUGCUCAAGCCUGGUACCACACAAGCCUUGCUCCCUCCAGCCUCAUCCUUGCAGGCUGGUUGUCUGGGGACAGAAGGUGGCAGAACUGGGCACCCAGGACACCCCCCCAGCCCUGAGCACACAGGGAGAGACUGUGACCACCCCUGCUCACACUUACACCAUGCCCAGCUUCAGUGCAUAGAGGAAGAAGGCGUUCAUGGCCACGUUGAGGACGUUGGCUGCAAUCCCGGUCAACACCUGAGGCAGAAUGAUCGCCUGGAAGCCAAGGAGGGACUUUGGAGUUUGCUCCCCCAGUGCUGCCCAAGCCCCAUCCAGUGAACACAAGGGAGAACUUCAGCAGUGCCCAAGGAGAAAGCCAAGAAGGCAGCUCCUGUUCCAGCUGGUACAGAAACGCCGCCUGCAAGAAUCAGGAUUCAGUUCAUCAUCAGACCGUGGUUCAACAACCCUUGAACACUGACAGACCAGUCCCCCCACCACCUUCUUGGGGUGCCCCAGCCAGCACCUGCCCGACACCCUGUUCCAGUGCUCCUGCUGAAGUGUGGCGCCUGCCAGCACUGCACCCAAAAGAGUAACAGAAGGCACCUCCCAUUCCCACUGGGAAGAGAGAUCAGUCUCCAGAUGGGAAAUCUCCUAUGCUUCCCCAUCAGCCUGAGAAAGCUUGGAAAGCUUAGAAGAAAAGAUAAACCUACAGACCCUUAUUCCACAGGGAUACUGUUCCCUGCCUUAGAGAAGUCGGAGUAACCAGCUGGAGCCCAGCAGCUGUGAGUGUGUGAACAGCAAGCUCCAGCCUUCAUUUUGGAGCUAACAGUGAGCUUGGAGCCUCUGGUUCCAAUCUCCACCACCACUUGUGUGGCCACAGCAAAAGCCUUUGCACAGGAAGAUCAGAGACCCUGUGUUUGCUGGUCCAGCAGCUGCUGGCCAAUGCACAUCUGUUAAGGCACAAAGUCAAGGGACACACUGUAAACCCCUAAACCUGCCCUGUGAGCCACAAAGCAAAGGCCUUCCCUCCUUUCCUUCGUGUUACUAAGGGACACAGAGCUUCUAACAGCUUUAGCAGAGACUUACAGGAAGUGCUGGAAUAAAGAUCAUCACGUAGACCUGAGUUAACCUGGAAAGAGAGUUGUUUCCCCAGUUAGUAUUACAGCAAAGCAAGAGCCAAGCCAAACAGCGUUGUGCUCAAGCUCCAGAGAGGCUUGAUUUCAACACUACAGAGCAACCCACCCACAGUAAAAAGCCCCGAUCCAGAAGGGCUGGAUCUCACCCCUGACCUGGAGACCUCGGGGUCCUGUCGGAUGAGCAGGAGGAUUUGCUCAGUGUUGACGAAGAGUGCCCAGCAAGGGAAGCAGCACAGCAGCAGGAUGAGGGUGCCCCGCUGCAGGAUGGUGCCCACCUGCUUCAGGUUCUUGCUGCCAUACGUCUGAGCGAGGAGAGAGAGGACCAAGGGGAAUUGGAGUGAUACGUACGGACACAGCCAGUGAGACAGCAUCCAGCUCAGCUUUCCCCAGGUGGCCACAGAAGAUGGAGCUGACCACGCUGAUCAGGAACCCCAGCAGCUGGGAGAGGAACUAGGACGAGAGGAGAAGGAAAUGGGCCUACAGCGAAGUGCAACGAUGCUGCAGCAGAGAUUGCACUCCAAACUUCAUUUUCCCUUGGCAAGAGGAUGUCCCUUCUACAGG
Molecule: long non-coding RNA, 3174 nt
Organism: Chiroxiphia lanceolata (lance-tailed manakin)
Lineage: Eukaryota; Metazoa; Chordata; Aves; Passeriformes; Pipridae
Exons: 8
Source: RefSeq, a predicted model, not a curated record